RNAcentral lists this ribosomal RNA (2925 nucleotides) under Escherichia coli. RNAcentral's name for it is "partial 23S ribosomal RNA". It matches the Rfam family "Bacterial large subunit ribosomal RNA". The record is from RNAcentral. Lineage: Bacteria; Pseudomonadati; Pseudomonadota; Gammaproteobacteria; Enterobacterales; Enterobacteriaceae.
GGGUUGUGAGGUUAAGCGACUAAGCGUACACGGUGGAUGCCCUGGCAGUCAGAGGCGAUGAAGGACGUGCUAAUCUGCGAUAAGCGUCGGUAAGGUGAUAUGAACCGUUAUAACCGGCGAUUUCCGAAUGGGGAAACCCAGUGUGAUUCGUCACACUAUCAUUAACUGAAUCCAUAGGUUAAUGAGGCGAACCGGGGGAACUGAAACAUCUAAGUACCCCGAGGAAAAGAAAUCAACCGAGAUUCCCCCAGUAGCGGCGAGCGAACGGGGAGGAGCCCAGAGCCUGAAUCAGUGUGUGUGUUAGUGGAAGCGUCUGGAAAGGCGCGCGAUACAGGGUGACAGCCCCGUACACAAAAAUGCACAUACUGUGAGCUCGAUGAGUAGGGCGGGACACGUGGUAUCCUGUCUGAAUAUGGGGGGACCAUCCUCCAAGGCUAAAUACUCCUGACUGACCGAUAGUGAACCAGUACCGUGAGGGAAAGGCGAAAAGAACCCCGGCGAGGGGAGUGAAAAAGAACCUGAAACCGUGUACGUACAAGCAGUGGGAGCCUCUUAAUGGGGUGACUGCGUACCUUUUGUAUAAUGGGUCAGCGACUUAUAUUCUGUAGCAAGGUUAACCGAAUAGGGGAGCCGAAGGGAAACCGAGUCUUAACUGGGCGUUAAGUUGCAGGGUAUAGACCCGAAACCCGGUGAUCUAGCCAUGGGCAGGUUGAAGGUUGGGUAACACUAACUGGAGGACCGAACCGACUAAUGUUGAAAAAUUAGCGGAUGACUUGUGGCUGGGGGUGAAAGGCCAAUCAAACCGGGAGAUAGCUGGUUCUCCCCGAAAGCUAUUUAGGUAGCGCCUCGUGAAUUCAUCUCCGGGGGUAGAGCACUGUUUCGGCAAGGGGGUCAUCCCGACUUACCAACCCGAUGCAAACUGCGAAUACCGGAGAAUGUUAUCACGGGAGACACACGGCGGGUGCUAACGUCCGUCGUGAAGAGGGAAACAACCCAGACCGCCAGCUAAGGUCCCAAAGUCAUGGUUAAGUGGGAAACGAUGUGGGAAGGCCCAGACAGCCAGGAUGUUGGCUUAGAAGCAGCCAUCAUUUAAAGAAAGCGUAAUAGCUCACUGGUCGAGUCGGCCUGCGCGGAAGAUGUAACGGGGCUAAACCAUGCACCGAAGCUGCGGCAGCGACACUAUGUGUUGUUGGGUAGGGGAGCGUUCUGUAAGCCUGUGAAGGUGUACUGUGAGGUAUGCUGGAGGUAUCAGAAGUGCGAAUGCUGACAUAAGUAACGAUAAAGCGGGUGAAAAGCCCGCUCGCCGGAAGACCAAGGGUUCCUGUCCAACGUUAAUCGGGGCAGGGUGAGUCGACCCCUAAGGCGAGGCCGAAAGGCGUAGUCGAUGGGAAACAGGUUAAUAUUCCUGUACUUGGUGUUACUGCGAAGGGGGGACGGAGAAGGCUAUGUUGGCCGGGCGACGGUUGUCCCGGUUUAAGCGUGUAGGCUGGUUUUCCAGGCAAAUCCGGAAAAUCAAGGCUGAGGCGUGAUGACGAGGCACUACGGUGCUGAAGCAACAAAUGCCCUGCUUCCAGGAAAAGCCUCUAAGCAUCAGGUAACAUCAAAUCGUACCCCAAACCGACACAGGUGGUCAGGUAGAGAAUACCAAGGCGCUUGAGAGAACUCGGGUGAAGGAACUAGGCAAAAUGGUGCCGUAACUUCGGGAGAAGGCACGCUGAUAUGUAGGUGAAGUCCCUCGCGGAUGGAGCUGAAAUCAGUCGAAGAUACCAGCUGGCUGCAACUGUUUAUUAAAAACACAGCACUGUGCAAACACGAAAGUGGACGUAUACGGUGUGACGCCUGCCCGGUGCCGGAAGGUUAAUUGAUGGGGUUAGCGGUAACGCGAAGCUCUUGAUCGAAGCCCCGGUAAACGGCGGCCGUAACUAUAACGGUCCUAAGGUAGCGAAAUUCCUUGUCGGGUAAGUUCCGACCUGCACGAAUGGCGUAAUGAUGGCCAGGCUGUCUCCACCCGAGACUCAGUGAAAUUGAACUCGCUGUGAAGAUGCAGUGUACCCGCGGCAAGACGGAAAGACCCCGUGAACCUUUACUAUAGCUUGACACUGAACAUUGAGCCUUGAUGUGUAGGAUAGGUGGGAGGCUUUGAAGUGUGGACGCCAGUCUGCAUGGAGCCGGCCUUGAAAUACCACCCUUUAAUGUUUGAUGUUCUAACGUUGGCCCCUGAUCGGGGUUGCGGACAGUGUCUGGUGGGUAGUUUGACUGGGGCGGUCUCCUCCUAAAGAGUAACGGAGGAGCACGAAGGUUGGCUAAUCCUGGUCGGACAUCAGGAGGUUAGUGCAAUGGCAUAAGCCAGCUUGACUGCGAGCGUGACGGCGCGAGCAGGUGCGAAAGCAGGUCAUAGUGAUCCGGUGGUUCUGAAUGGAAGGGCCAUCGCUCAACGGAUAAAAGGUACUCCGGGGAUAACAGGCUGAUACCGCCCAAGAGUUCAUAUCGACGGCGGUGUUUGGCACCUCGAUGUCGGCUCAUCACAUCCUGGGGCUGAAGUAGGUCCCAAGGGUAUGGCUGUUCGCCAUUUAAAGUGGUACGCGAGCUGGGUUUAGAACGUCGUGAGACAGUUCGGUCCCUAUCUGCCGUGGGCGCUGGAGAACUGAGGGGGGCUGCUCCUAGUACGAGAGGACCGGAGUGGACGCAUCACUGGUGUUCGGGUUGUCAUGCCAAUGGCACUGCCCGGUAGCUAAAUGCGGAAGAGAUAAGUGCUGAAAGCAUCUAAGCACGAAACUUGCCCCGAGAUGAGUUCUCCCUGACUCCUUGAGAGUCCUGAAGGAACGUUGAAGACGACGACGUUGAUAGGCCGGGUGUGUAAGCGCAGCGAUGCGUUGAGCUAACCGGUACUAAUGAACCGUGAGGCUUAACCUUACAACGCCGAAG